UACGUAGGCAGCAAGCGUUGUUCGGAAUUACUGGGCGUAAAGAGUGUGUAGGCGGUGCUCUAAGUCUGUUGUGAAAUCUCCCGGCUUAACUGGGAGGGUGCGGCGGAAACUGGAGUGCUCGAGGGUGGGAGAGGUAAGCGGAAUUCCUGGUGUAGCGGUGAAAUGCGUAGAUAUCAGGAGGAACACCUGUGGUGUAGACAGCUUACUGGACCACUUCUGACGCUGAGACACGAAAGCGUGGGUAGCAAACAGG
Molecule: ribosomal RNA, 253 nt
Filed under: uncultured bacterium
Lineage: Bacteria
Description: partial 16S ribosomal RNA
Rfam family: Bacterial small subunit ribosomal RNA
Source: RNAcentral